Molecule: ribosomal RNA, 253 nt
Filed under: uncultured bacterium
Lineage: Bacteria
Description: partial 16S ribosomal RNA
Rfam family: Bacterial small subunit ribosomal RNA
Source: RNAcentral
UACGUAGGGACCAAGCGUUGUUCGGAUUUACUGGGCGUAAAGGGCGCGUAGGCGGCGCGGUAAGUCACUUGUGAAAUCUCUAAGCUUAACUCAGAACGGCCAAGUGAUACUGCAGUGCUAGAGUGUGGAAGGGGCAAUCGGAAUUCUUGGUGUAGCGGUGAAAUGCGUAGAUAUCAAGAGGAACACCUGAGGUGAAGACGGGUUGCUGGGCCAACACUGACGCUGAGGCGCGAAAGCGUGGGGAGCGAACAGG